CCUAAAAUUAUGGCCUAACCCUAACCUAGUACGCAUAUUACAUUCCGAUGUCCGCCAUCUUGGUUCGCAUACUUCGGGAGCCCCUAUAUUUGUUAUUAACAAUUUACGCGGUACGAAAACAAUCGAAAGAUCAUAAAAUAGUAUGACGAGCUGUAUAUUCUCCGAGAAAAGUUUACACAUUGGGAACUAGGCAAUAAGUGCUUAACGAUAUCUGAAUAUCAGACUGAUGUGACUGGUUCAUUGUCUAUUCAACAAAUGCUUCACGAAUCACGAUGCUUACCUUAUAUAACAUAUAUAUAUAUCAGAAAUAUCCAUGGAAAUUUGUUAUAGAACUUCAGAGUUGGUAUAGGGAGCCGAAGGCAAAAUUAUUUACGACCAGCAGUCGGAGCAGAAUUUUUGUUUAACCGAAUUGCCUCUUCUUUGUGCGGGUAGCCGAUCAAUAUAUAUUUUCAACCAAGUCGGGAUGUAUAUUCAGUAACAAAUAUUUUCAGCAUAUGAAUAUAUGAAUCAACCAACAACAUAUAAGGGAAACUAGGAAAAGUUCAAAAGGGUCCAUUAUAACUUGUAUCUACUAUACUUCGACUUCCCGAAGUACGCGAUUGUGUUGCUAGCUUUAUAUUUCACUUUCGAUUGAAUUUAAAAAUAUAUAUAUAUGAGUUUGGUGUUUUUGGAAUUAUUAACUGAUGAAAG
Molecule: non-coding RNA, 690 nt
Organism: Styela clava
Lineage: Eukaryota; Metazoa; Chordata; Ascidiacea; Stolidobranchia; Styelidae
Source: RefSeq, a predicted model, not a curated record